This 406-nucleotide ribosomal RNA is filed under the name uncultured bacterium. RNAcentral describes it as "partial 16S ribosomal RNA". It matches the Rfam family "Bacterial small subunit ribosomal RNA", at positions 355 to 776 of the family's 1533-position model. The record is from RNAcentral.
UCGAGAAUAUUUGUCAAUGGGCGAAAGCCUGAACAAGCGACGCCGCGUGCGGGAUGAAGGCCUUCGGGUUGUAAACCGCGGUAGUAGAGGAGGAAAUUUUGACUGUACUCUACGGAAAGAGGUGGGUAACUACGUGCCAGCACCAGCGGUAAAACGUAGACCUCAAGCGUUAUCCGGAUUUAUUGGGCGUAAAGCGUGUGUAGGAGGCUCGGUGCGUCUACGGGUGAAAUCUCACUGCCUAACGGUGAGCCUGCCCGGGAUACGAUCGAGCUAGAGGAGGUGAGAGGUGAACGGAGCGCACGGUGUAGGGGUGAAAUCCGUUGAUAUCGUGCGAAACACCAAAGGCGAAGGCAGUUCACUGGCGCCUUCCUGACUCUGAGACACGAAAGCGUGGGGAGCAAAAAGG